UAAACUAUCUGAAUAAUUAAAUUUCACGCUUUUCUGAGUUACGAUCAUGUCGAAGUGAACUAUAGAUGAGAGGGUUUUCAUAAAAUUUUAUUUUAUUGUUAACAAUAAAUUUUCAAUUAAAAAAAUUUUGUUUAAGCAGAUCAUAUAAGUAAUACUCUAAUAUAGAGAAUUUUGAUAUCAAAAUAUUUUUAGCAUGAGAUAUGUGAGUUAUUUAAAUAAAAUUUUUAAAAAUAAAUCUUUAAAUAGUUAAUGUUGAAUUCUACUAUAGACAAAUUGCAUUAUAACUAUGUAUAAUUUAAAAGCGAAAAAUCAUAAUGAGAUUUAACUAUCACACUUAAUUGACUGGAUCUUUAAUUGUAAUAUUUUAGAAAUAAUGUUAAAUUAUUAUGUGAUUCAAAUGUUAAAAAUUGAUCAUAUAAUUAAUCUUAAAUAUUAAAUGUUUAAAUUGUUGCUAGGGGUAAAAUUGGUAUUUACAAAAUAUUGGACGUCCAUUUGACUGAAAGUUAAGCUAAAGGGUAUCUGUGAAUAUUUUUGGGUUUUAGAGGGGUAUUGAUGAUAUUUUUCAGUUUAGAGGGUUAUCCAUGAAAUUAUGAUUUUUCAGAGGGGUAUUGAUGAAAUUAUUCCUAAAAUUUAUAUCCGAAUUCAUAUUUAUCAAAUUUUUAUUUUUAAUAUUUAUAUCAAAAUUCAUAUCCGUUUAGCAUGAAAUAUAUCCACUUCAUUCAGAUUCGGUUCACACGAAGUUUCGAAUAUCCGUACAUAUUAGCAUUCCUACUCAC
Molecule: long non-coding RNA, 776 nt
Filed under: Ananas comosus (pineapple)
Lineage: Eukaryota; Viridiplantae; Streptophyta; Magnoliopsida; Poales; Bromeliaceae
Description: long non-coding RNA (ACOM_LNC023678)
Source: RNAcentral